CAUGUAGACAGAGAAUGUUAGAUAUUUUGUAAAAUACUCUUCCUCCUUUUAAAAGCCAGGAUAAUAAAUUUUCCCCUAAAAUUCAACUGCUUAAUAUUUUGUCGAGUUAACAACUGUAUCAGUUUAUAUUAUCUCAGUCUAUACACGUAGAUGUGUUUUAUAAACUUUGCACGCAAGUCUCUAUAUGCCGAACACACAAGAAUAAAGUGGAACUCGUUCUCAAUAAUUGACUACAUACUUUGCAUAAACAAUUCAUUACUGAUACAUUCAGAAAACGACUAGUCUCAAUAUUACGUGAAUGUGCAGAUAGUCUAACUGUUGUAAUAGGCUUUCGGUAUAGAGGAGGGAUAUAUAAAGUCAAGAAAUACUAAUACUAUUUUUGUAAAUCUAGGUUUGUGAUUAUAUUAUUGUAAAUAACACACAUAUUUGCUACUGUUUUCCGACAAAGAAUAUAGUUCUUGUUGUUUUUAUAUCUAGUAUACGUUGUUUCAUAAGGGAAAAAGCGUUUCCAAAUGUCAGUUCACACUGCGAAGUCACAAUUCACCUAGUCAGAUAUGGUGCAAUUCAUCCUUACUCAGUUUUACCCAGUUCUUAAUCACAACUGUACCCUGUACAUACUUUGCAAACAGUUAAAGUAUUCCUACUAAAUACAACUGUAGGACAAUCGAAACAUUUCAAGUUUGACGAAUUUUGGAGACAGUCUAUUGUUGACGGCUUUUCAUAGUUAUUUGUGUUGUUGCGUUGAUGUCUCCUUGACGUAUCUUUCAUAUCUCCUUUUAUUCAUAAUAUGUAUUCGUCUCGAUUCUGUCAUGAUAACAAAACUUUGUAUCACCAGUUAUGACAAUGAUGUUAAAUGAUUUUUUUCUGUUGCGACGUGCCCUCAAUUUUUGCGCACUUAUUUUCAAAAGUAUUUGAUAACAAUUCCUGGACGUUAGAAUGAUUGCAACUUUUUAAGCCAGAUUAAUAUUGUGUUGUAUACACAUAUAUAAAGAAAAAUUAGUACAUUUCUAUAUAAAUAUUAGCAGUUAAAAAUAUCGAUUAACGAUAUUUAUAUUAUACUUAAAAACAUAUGAUUAUCUAGUACCCAGUCGACGAAAAGCUAAACGAAAAAACGAUUUCUUUUUACACAAACUUAAGAGGAUUUUAUCAUACGCACAUUAAUCUGGAAAACGAAUAAGAUGCAAGAAAUUAAAGGAAAGGUUUCAUGUAGCAUAUAGUUUCAACCUUUAUUUUUAAGUCGUUGAUGGAUUGCUGUAUCAUGGCGUGCUAUAUAUUGAAAGGAAUUAAAAGGAACUUGAUGUUGUGUUAAACGCUGUGUGACCCUCGUGUGAAGUAUACUUGAUUAUACAUUAUCAAGUAAAACAAUCUGUUGUGAUAUAAGAAAAGAUUUACAAAAUUAUGUUGCAGCUAGAAAAGCGUCAAAAAAGAGGAUGUGAUAUUAUUGCCAAUGAGACAAAUCUCCACAAGAGAAAACUGGCACAGAAAUGAACAACUAUAUGUCACCGAACAGCUUUCAACAAUGAGAAAAGCCCAUAUCGCAUAGUCAACUAUAACUUGAAGGCCCCGAAAUGACAAAUAUAAAACAAUUUAAACGGGGAACUAACGGCUAGCCAAUUACAGCGGGAAAAUCAUAAUAUUGUAUAUACAGAAGAAGAUAUACAAAU
RNAcentral lists this long non-coding RNA (1664 nucleotides) under Mytilus galloprovincialis (Mediterranean mussel). Lineage: Eukaryota; Metazoa; Mollusca; Bivalvia; Mytilida; Mytilidae. The record is from RNAcentral.